AUGAACGCUGGCGGCGUGCCUAAUACAUGCAAGUCGAGCGAACGGACGAGAAGCUUGCUUCUCUGAUGUUAGCGGCGGACGGGUGAGCAACACGUGGAUAACCUACCUAUAAGACUGGGAUAACUUCGGGAAACCGGAGCUAAUACCGGAUGAUAUUUUGAACCGCAUGGUUCAAAAGUGAAAGACGGUCUUGCUGUCACUUAUAGAUGGAUCCGCGCUGCAUUAGCUAGUUGGUAAGGUAACGGCUUACCAAGGCAACGAUGCAUAGCCGACCUGAGAGGGUGAUCGGCCACACUGGAACUGAGACACGGUCCAGACUCCUACGGGAGGCAGCAGUAGGGAAUCUUCCGCAAUGGGCGAAAGCCUGACGGAGCAACGCCGCGUGAGUGAUGAAGGUCUUCGGAUCGUAAAACUCUGUUAUUAGGGAAGAACAUAUGUGUAAGUAACUGUGCACAUCUUGACGGUACCUAAUCAGAAAGCCACGGCUAACUACGUG
RNAcentral lists this ribosomal RNA (496 nucleotides) under uncultured bacterium. Its description in RNAcentral is "partial 16S ribosomal RNA". It matches the Rfam family "Bacterial small subunit ribosomal RNA", at positions 29 to 507 of the family's 1533-position model. The record is from RNAcentral.